Long non-coding RNA from Strigops habroptila (Kakapo), 248 nucleotides. RefSeq lists it as uncharacterized. The record is from RefSeq and is a predicted model, not a curated record. NCBI's taxonomy places the organism in Eukaryota, Metazoa, Chordata, Aves, Psittaciformes, Psittacidae. The transcript has 3 exons.
ACCCGCUUGUCUUUGCUUUGGGGUUGAAUUCCUGUUGUCAAUAAAGCAGCGGUUCGGCCGGGCCCGGGGGGGGGGAAUGGAGCUGGGGGGGGGCUGAUAACGCUUAUCAGGAGCCCCCAGGGACCGGCCAGGCCCUGCGGGAGCAGAUGGCACCGUGGCACUGUGUCACCGUGGCACUGCAUCAGUGUCACUGCAUCCCUGUGUCACCGCAUCGCCGUGUCACCGCAUCCCUGUCACUUCAUCCCUGG